CCGCAUAGCCCUUAUGUCCUGGGCUACACACGCGCUACAAUGGCCGAUACAGUAGGAAGCCAAAUCGUAAGAUGGAGCUAAUCCUUAAAGUCGGUACUCAGUUCGGAUUGAGGUCUGAAAUUCGACCUCAUGAAGUUGGAUUUGCUAGUAAUCGUAGAUCAGCAAUGCUACGGUGAAUACGUUCUCGGGUCUU
Molecule: ribosomal RNA, 193 nt
Filed under: uncultured Thermovirga sp.
Lineage: Bacteria; Thermotogati; Synergistota; Synergistia; Synergistales; Thermovirgaceae
Description: partial 16S ribosomal RNA
Rfam family: Bacterial small subunit ribosomal RNA
Source: RNAcentral